UAAGGAAUAUUGGUCAAUGGACGAAAGUCUGAACCAGCCAUGCCGCGUGAAGGAUGAAGGUCCUCUGGAUUGUAAACUUCUUUUAUAGGGGACGAAAAAAGGGAAUUCUUUCUCACUUGACGGUACCCUAGGAAUAAGCACCGGCUAACUCCGUGCCAGCAGCCGCGGUAAUACGGAGGGUGCAAGCGUUAUCCGGAUUCACUGGGUUUAAAGGGAGCGUAGGUGGGCAGGUAAGUCAGUGGUGAAAUCCCCGGGCUUAACCUGGGAACUGCGCUUGUGACUGCAAGACUUGAGUGCGGCAGAGGGGGGUGGAAUUCCACGUGUAGCAGUGAAAUGCGUAGAUAUGCGGAGGAACACCGAUGGCGAAGGCAAUCCCCUGGGCCUGCACUGACGCUCAUGCACGAAAGCGUGGGGAGCAAACA
Molecule: ribosomal RNA, 422 nt
Filed under: uncultured bacterium
Lineage: Bacteria
Description: bacterial SSU rRNA
Rfam family: Bacterial small subunit ribosomal RNA
Source: RNAcentral